CCGGUCGUCCCCAAUAUCUGUGCAAGGAUCACUACAGCUAACAGCACCUCUCGAGAGAGAAAACAAUCCUCGGAUUUCUACUUUCGGAAAUCAUGGCUGAUUCAUACUCUUUUGCACUAACCGCCGAUUUGUAAAUCUUCUUUUCAGUUUAAUUCACCAUUGUGUCUUUCAUUGGAUAUCGAGAGAGAUAAUAGGAGGAGGCAAAAACCGGAGGCUAUGAAAGAAGACACUGUGGAUGAAGUUAGUGAGAAUGAGAUCAAGGCAGUGCAUUUUGAGGAGUCAAUGAAAUAUAGUCAUAGAAGUUCUAGUGGUGCUUCUUUGCACAAAAUAAUUCAGCAGUCUUGUGGUUUUGGCUCUGAAUUCCAGUUUGAAGGUACUACCUUUCUUUACUCCCAUGCUUUGUUUCCUAGCCUUAGUUGUUUUUGUGUAUGACAUAGUAUCACAUAUACUACCAAAUCUCAUGUAAUAUAUAUUAAUUCCUUUUCAUUAUCUCCUCAAGCAAGUUACAUACUUUUUCUUUUAUUAAA
Salvia splendens (bonfire salvia) is the source of this 527-nucleotide long non-coding RNA. RefSeq lists it as uncharacterized. The transcript is spliced from 2 exons. Lineage: Eukaryota; Viridiplantae; Streptophyta; Magnoliopsida; Lamiales; Lamiaceae. The record is from RefSeq and is a predicted model, not a curated record.